Molecule: transfer RNA, 66 nt
Filed under: Kulikovia alborostrata
Lineage: Eukaryota; Metazoa; Nemertea; Pilidiophora; Heteronemertea; Lineidae
Description: tRNA-Phe
Source: RNAcentral
GCUCACGAUAGCUUAAAUAAGAGCAUAACACUGAAGAUGUUAGGGUGUUUAUCUGAACUCUGGGUG